RNAcentral lists this ribosomal RNA (253 nucleotides) under uncultured bacterium. Its description in RNAcentral is "partial 16S ribosomal RNA". It matches the Rfam family "Bacterial small subunit ribosomal RNA", at positions 524 to 776 of the family's 1533-position model. The record is from RNAcentral.
UACGAAGGGGGCUAGCGUUGUUCGGAUUUACUGGGCGUAAAGCGCGUGUAGGCGGGUCGUUAAGUCGGGGGUGAAAGCCCGAGGCUCAACCUCGGAACUGCCUUCGAUACUGCGGGUCUCGAGUCCGGGAGAGGUGAGUGGAAUUCCUAGUGUAGAGGUGAAAUUCGUAGAUAUUAGGAAGAACACCAGUGGCGAAGGCGGCUCACUGGCCCGGUACUGACGCUGAGGCGCGAAAGCGUGGGGAGCAAACAGG